This 272-nucleotide ribosomal RNA is filed under the name uncultured prokaryote. Its description in RNAcentral is "partial 16S ribosomal RNA". It matches the Rfam family "Bacterial small subunit ribosomal RNA", at positions 524 to 796 of the family's 1533-position model. The record is from RNAcentral.
UACGGAGGAUGCAAGCGUUAUCCGGAAUUAUUGGGCGUAAAGCGUCCGUAGGCGGUUUUUCAAGUCUGCUGUUAAAGCGUGCAGCUUAACUGCAUAUCGGCAGUGGAAACUGAGAGACUAGAGUGUAGUAGGGGUAGAGGGAAUUCCCAGUGUAGCGGUGAAAUGCGUAGAUAUUGGGAAGAACACCGGUGGCGAAAGCGCUCUACUGGGCUACAACUGACGCUGAUGGACGAAAGCUAGGGGAGCGAAAGGGAUUAGAUACCCUGUAGUCC